UAGGGAAUAUUGCGCAAUGGACGAAAGUCUGACGCAGCGACGCCGCGUGAGGGAUGAAGGCCUUCGGGUCGUAAACCUCUGUCAGGAGGGAAGAAAGCUCAUGGUGCCAAUCAGCCAUGAGUUGACGGUACCUCCAAAGGAAGCGCCGGCUAACUCCGUGCCAGCAGCCGCGGUAAUACGGAGGGCGCAAGCGUUAAUCGGAAUCACUGGGCGUAAAGGGCGCGUAGGUUGUUGUGUAAGUCAGAGGUGAAAGCCCACAGCUUAACUGUGGAAUUGCCUUUGAAACUGUGCAACUUGAAUCCAGGAGAGGGUGGCGGAAUUCCAGGUGUAGGAGUGAAAUCCGUAGAUAUCUGGAGGAACACCAGCGGCGAAGGCGGCCACCUGGCCUGGCAUUGACACUGAGGCGCGAAAGCGUGGGGAGCAAACAGG
This 429-nucleotide ribosomal RNA is filed under the name uncultured bacterium. Its description in RNAcentral is "bacterial SSU rRNA". It matches the Rfam family "Bacterial small subunit ribosomal RNA", at positions 355 to 776 of the family's 1533-position model. The record is from RNAcentral.